UGUCGAAUCUCUAUAAGGUCUUGAUAGGUGUUGGCAUGUUUCAAAAUUAUACAUGGAUUACUCACAGUGGAUGCUUAAUAUACCAUGAUAGCUUUGUAUUUUAAUUUUUUGGAACCAAGUAAAAUGACCUGCAAAAAUAAUUUGUUCUUCUUUUUUAAUGUGAAGUGAAUAUUUUGGAAAUUUGUUAGGAUGAUUUAUAGAGUAAGACCUUACAAGCCGGCACUCCUGUUUUAAUGUGUACAAAGCUGUUCAUUUCGGUUUAUGGCUAAAUAGGUUAAUGUCGUGCAUUAUUGCUUUCUGUUGGUUUGAUUAUUUCAUGUAUGUACUUCUUCUUGAAUUUUUGCACCUCUGGGAAAUUGCUUGAUAUGAUGUGCGGUUCUUUGUAUAUGUGUGUUUAUGGCAGUUAAUAUAAAAUGUAUCUCACUACAUUCUCCUUAAAAGACAAGGAACUUGGGAUUGUUAGCUCGCUUCCAUCUAAGAAGAAAAUAUCAUCCUCUUCUUCCACUCUAAUAAGUAUGCCUACACGUAGAGAUUCCAUUGGCUGCCAUUCUUCUGCACAGGGAUCAGGCGCAAGGAUGGGAAGGAAAAAAGAUGUAGUAAUUGCAUCUCACCAAGGAGACACCUCAAUGGAAAGUUGGACCAAGUGGGGAUAAGACUUUGUGUAAUGCUUGUGGGAUCAGAUAAAAAAAACAGAAAGCUUUGUCAGAUAUCGAAGGUGCUGAGGACGACACAUAAUCUAGGAUGGUGGAAUGCAAGCUAAGGCAGACUUAUAUAAGCAUAAUGAUGAAUUAGCUAAACAGCUAGAACACAUGGAGCAGAAGCUCGAAGAACUUCUUGAUAUUGUAGUGUCCAAGUGCAGACAAAUGAACAUUUCCGAGAAGCAACAACUUCGGAAUUUGAUUCAGACUCUGUCCCCAAAAAAUCAAGAUCGAGUUGUACAAAUUAUCAAAUGUAGAAAGCUACCAAGAGGUGGAAAAUCGUUCUACGAUCUGAACAUUGGUCUGGAUAAAGAAGGAUAAUGGAACACUUUGGAGAUUGUGCUAUUACGUGCGAGCAGCUGAAAAUGAUAAACGACUUUCAUUAGCGGAACUGCAGCAAGGAAAGGUCGUGGUGAUAAACUAAGAUAAUGGAAUGUGAUUGGCAGGCCAUAUCAAAGGGAGGUGGACAGACACGUGAGCAUGUCCUCUUAGUCCUAGCCAAAACAUUUGGUGCCCUUAAGUUACAUAUUUUUUUCAAAAAAAUGGACGAUAUGGUCUAUUGAUAGGUGCUUACACUGUGCUUCAACGUUUUUUUGCAUUUAUUAUGUUUCUCUUCUUUCCAGUUUAGCAAUAUUUUUCUUACAAGAAGCUAGACGAAGGCUGGUUAGGCAAUGCAGAUAAAGUUUCUGCACCGGAGUUUGCAAAGGUACUGAUGGAAAGAAAGGUGGUUUCGAAACUGGAACCCCUGAUGGCUAAUCUCACCUCAGAUCCAGAUGUUACUGCUCAAACCGCACCUGUGCAAUAUUAUGCAACCUAGAGUUGCUGCAUUCAGGCUGGAAAAUGGUUAUAGAGAUUUGAGGGAUGCACUGGAUUCAGACACUAUUAGGUUUUAAGAAAUGGCGUUCUUUGUUGCAUGUGAACAAGGGACACAACACAUGGAUGCUCUACUGUAUUUUGUUCUGAAUUUAGAAUUUCAUCAUUUUUCUGUGUAAUUUUAAACCAAAUGGAUAAAAUGAAUGAAUGAUAGAAUGUUGAAUUCUCAGUUUGAGUUUAAUUUUGAGUUAAAUUUGAAUAUCAGUUAAGGUUCCAUUUGAGUGUAAUGGACUUGACUUUAU
Papaver somniferum (opium poppy) is the source of this 1813-nucleotide long non-coding RNA. RefSeq lists it as uncharacterized. The transcript is spliced from 11 exons. Lineage: Eukaryota; Viridiplantae; Streptophyta; Magnoliopsida; Ranunculales; Papaveraceae. The record is from RefSeq and is a predicted model, not a curated record.